GACGAACGCUGGCGGCGUGCUUAACACAUGCAAGUCGAACGGAAAGGCCCUGCUUUUGUGGGGUGCUCGAGUGGCGAACGGGUGAGUAACACGUGAGUAACCUGCCCUUGACUUUGGGAUAACUUCAGGAAACUGAGGCUAAUACCGGAUAGGAGCUCCUGCUGCAUGGUGGGGGUUGGAAAGUUUCGGCGGUUGGGGAUGGACUCGCGGCUUAUCAGCUUGUUGGUGGGGUAGUGGCUUACCAAGGCUUUGACGGGUAGCCGGCCUGAGAGGGUGACCGGCCACAUUGGGACUGAGAUACGGCCCAGACUCCUACGGGAGGCAGCAGUGGGGAAUAUUGCACAAUGGGCGGAAGCCUGGUGCAGCAACGCCGCGUGCGGGAUGACGGCCUUCGGGUUGUAAACCGCUUUCGCCUGUGACGAAGCGUGAGUGACGGUAAUGGGUAAAGAAGCACCGGCUAACUACGUG
Molecule: ribosomal RNA, 468 nt
Filed under: uncultured bacterium
Lineage: Bacteria
Description: partial 16S ribosomal RNA
Rfam family: Bacterial small subunit ribosomal RNA
Source: RNAcentral